GGCCUAUAGCUCAGUUGGUUAGAGCAGAGGACUCAUAAUCCUUUGGUCCACGGUUCUUAUGUGGUACGAAUGCCAGUGUGGUAUUUGGAGCCA
This 93-nucleotide transfer RNA is filed under the name Pseudomonas putida. RNAcentral describes it as "tRNA-Ile". The stretch from base 4 to 81 matches the Rfam family "tRNA", at positions 5 to 66 of the family's 71-position model. From Rfam's summary of the family: Transfer RNA (tRNA) molecules are approximately 80 nucleotides in length. Their secondary structure includes four short double-helical elements and three loops (D, anti-codon, and T loops). The record is from RNAcentral. Lineage: Bacteria; Pseudomonadati; Pseudomonadota; Gammaproteobacteria; Pseudomonadales; Pseudomonadaceae.